RNAcentral lists this long non-coding RNA (217 nucleotides) under Setaria italica (foxtail millet). RNAcentral describes it as "long non-coding RNA (SITA_LNC005609)". Lineage: Eukaryota; Viridiplantae; Streptophyta; Magnoliopsida; Poales; Poaceae. The record is from RNAcentral.
UGGGCUUGUUUUGCUAGCUAAUAUGUCACCUGUCAUACUGAUGUGUUGGACUAAGCUAGCUUACAUAAUUUGUAUAUGUUUUAACAUCUUCUUGCACAAAAGCUAGACGACAACUGAAAGCAAACACUUCAUGCAUUGUGUGAUUCUGCAAAAGUGUAAACCAGAAACUUCACCGUAGGUUCCUAAAGUCACACCACACCUGAACUUUAGUGGUCAC